UGGCUCUCGCAUCGAUGAAGAACGCAGCGAAAUGCGAUAAGUAAUGUGAAUUGCAGAAUUCAGUGAAUCAUCGAAUCUUUGAACGCACCUUGCACCCCUUGGUAUUCCGAGGGGUACGCCCGUUUGAGCGUCAUUGUACUCUCACCUCCACGGCUUCUGCCGUGGGAGUGGAUCUGGAUGUUGUUGGCCUAGCGACCUGACUCAUCUGAAAUGUAACAGUGCAUCCUGUUUCCACAGUCUAUCUGGUGUGAUUAAGCAACGUCCCCAGUGUGAAACCUGACCGUGUGAUCCACGGCAAGAGUCUUUCCUGUCGAAAUGGGCAACUGCCGCUGGUCACCGAACCGUCCACGAGGAUGGUCCUCUUGACAAUUUGACCUCAAAUCGGGCGGGACUACCCGCUGA
Molecule: unclassified non-coding RNA, 402 nt
Filed under: uncultured fungus
Lineage: Eukaryota; Fungi
Description: partial contains 5.8S ribosomal RNA and internal transcribed spacer 2
Rfam family: 5.8S ribosomal RNA (bases 1-133)
Source: RNAcentral